UCUUUGCUAGUAUAUCGGUUAGUACACGCGCUUGUCAUGUGUAUGCGCGCGAAAGCUGGGUUCGACUCCCAGGCAGAGAG
This is a non-coding RNA of Trametes pubescens, 80 nucleotides long. The record is from the annotation of a GenBank genome assembly. Lineage: Eukaryota; Fungi; Basidiomycota; Agaricomycetes; Polyporales; Polyporaceae.